UGUUUACCUGAUAACAUAAUGAAAUAGCUAUUAAAAUUAAUAUCAUUACCACUUUAAUUUUACAGGCAAGAAGUUAAAAUUCUGAAAAGACUAUCCUGUAAGAACACUAGAAAAGGUGUCUUACAGCAAAUCUUCUUAAGCACUGGCUUGCAACCAGGAUAGAGUAAGUUCAGAGCCUCACAGUCAAUUCCUGGAUUCGAACCUCAUAAUAGAUUCCUGAAUGCCUGGACACCACAUCACCCUAGCUCCCUGCCCGAAGCACCCUGCACUGGGCAGGGUUUAGGUUUUCUGGAUUCUUUUGUAUAUUUAUAACAAUGUCUUGGAGAUAUAGUUGUGAGGAG
RNAcentral lists this long non-coding RNA (341 nucleotides) under Sarcophilus harrisii (Tasmanian devil). RNAcentral describes it as "lncRNA (ENSSHAG00000020503.1)". Lineage: Eukaryota; Metazoa; Chordata; Mammalia; Dasyuromorphia; Dasyuridae. The record is from RNAcentral.